GUCCACGCCGUAAACGAUGUCUACUAGCAGCUCGCCUCGUUAGAGGGGUUUUGCGCAGCUAACGCGUUAAGUAGACCGCCUGGGGAGUACGGCCGCAAGGUUAAAACUCAAAUGAAUUGACGGGGGCCCGCACAAGCGGUGGAGCAUGUGGUUUAAUUCGAUGCAACGCGAAGAACCUUACCUACACUUGACAUGCAGAGAAUUUUCUAGAGAUAGAUUAGUGCCUUCGGGAACUCUGAGACAGGUGCUGCAUGGCU
RNAcentral lists this ribosomal RNA (257 nucleotides) under uncultured bacterium. Its description in RNAcentral is "partial 16S ribosomal RNA". It matches the Rfam family "Bacterial small subunit ribosomal RNA", at positions 793 to 1050 of the family's 1533-position model. The record is from RNAcentral.